RNAcentral lists this ribosomal RNA (240 nucleotides) under Triticum aestivum (bread wheat). RNAcentral's name for it is "partial small subunit ribosomal RNA". The record is from RNAcentral. Lineage: Eukaryota; Viridiplantae; Streptophyta; Magnoliopsida; Poales; Poaceae.
AUGGAAGCCAUGGAAGUAGAAAGUAGUGGUAAAAGAAGAAGGGGAUAUGGAGAAUCAUCUGUAAAAAGAGAAGGAGAAAGAGAGAGAGACCUACCAGGACAGCUGGACAAUGGCCUCCAGAAAAAGAUGAUUAUCAACCUACAUAUAUCCCCGGACAAUAUAGAUACAUGGGUACUAAAAGAAGAGAUUUUGAAAAACCAGUGCAAUUCCAAAAUUAUAAAAAUGAUGGUGCUAUAUUAA